RNAcentral lists this ribosomal RNA (253 nucleotides) under uncultured bacterium. RNAcentral's name for it is "partial 16S ribosomal RNA". It matches the Rfam family "Bacterial small subunit ribosomal RNA", at positions 524 to 776 of the family's 1533-position model. The record is from RNAcentral.
UACGGAGGGAGCUAGCGUUAUUCGGAAUUACUGGGCGUAAAGCGCACGUAGGCGGCUUGAUAAGUAAGAGGUGAAAGCCUGGAGCUCAACUCCAGAACUGCCUUUUAGACUGUCUCGCUUGAAUCCAGGAGAGGUGAGUGGAAUUCCGAGUGUAGAGGUGAAAUUCGUAGAUAUUCGGAAGAACACCAGUGGCGAAGGCGGCUCACUGGACCGUUGUUGACGCUGAGGUGCGAAAGCGUGGGGAGCAAACAGG